RNAcentral lists this long non-coding RNA (1624 nucleotides) under Volvox carteri. Its description in RNAcentral is "long non-coding RNA (VCAR_LNC003651)". The record is from RNAcentral. Lineage: Eukaryota; Viridiplantae; Chlorophyta; Chlorophyceae; Chlamydomonadales; Volvocaceae.
CAAGCCAAUCUAAAUUUAAAAAGUUGUCGCUUGCCUGUCCAGAUGACGUAGAUGUUUUGGUCGCGGUAAUAAUUGCUGGCCCCGGGGGUGGGUGGAAACUCCCUCGUCCUGUCUGUGUGUCAGAACCCGUGAAACCCAUGCAACCCUCAGCAAUCCCAUCGAGGCCACCUUUCAGCUCGCGCUGAGAUUUGAACUCAGGUCGGUGGAUUCAGAGUCCACAGUGCUAACCACUACACCACGCGAGCAGUGUACUGCAUGUACGACAUCUUAAUCCUAAUCAUAAUGACCCAGUACAGUACUUCCGUAACGCAACGCACAACACGCCGUUCUGCUGCCUAUCUACCUACCUUCCUAGUGUUGCUGUGGAAAUAUUGGAGUGACACAAUGUUUUGGUCCGGCAAGCAAUCCAUUUUUGGCUGUUGGAGAGGCGGUGUAGCAAGCUACAUUUACCUUAGAAUAUCUUUAAGCUAUUAAAGCUUAAUCACAGUAACGGUACGGUCCCGUAUUUACGAACCAUACUCGUUAACUGUACGAACUCACUUUCUGGUACGCUAUCACAACCUAGCGUACGGCACCAAGACUCCAGGAAUGGAGAUGGCGGCAGGUGGGCCGCAUUUAAGCCACCCAGGUGAAGUGCUUCGGCCAGACACUUAACGUAUCACUAUACUAGUGUUCAGGGUUCAAGACCUUGCUGUCACCGUUCUCGACGUAUGUCUUCGAAUCCCGACUUCCCUUGUCUCUUCUCACGCCUAACGCUGGGUCGCCAAUCGUGGACGAGACCCUCUACUUCCGCUAAAACAGCUAAGGUAAGAGACGGCUGUUACAUUUUGGUAUCGACGAUCAUUUGUUCGGUCCUCGCCUCACAUUGCGCCGCAGCAGUUACUCGCCCAUUGUCUGAGUCUUAGACUCGACUUUCUGGAAAUGGUUCCUAAGCCUAUAGCUAAGACUAAGGCUGUUUCUUUGAGCGAUGCUAAGCACGUUCCUAUUCCGCGACCGAAGUCUAAGACUACGGCGCAAAUUCCUGCCGAUGCUACAACCGCUUCGNNNNNNNNNNNNNNNNNNNNNNNNNNNNNNNNNNNNNNNNNNNNNNNNNNCUCAGCAAUCCCAUCGAGGCCACCUUUCAGCUCGCGCUGAGAUUUGAACUCAGGUCGGUGGAUUCAGAGUCCACAGUGCUAACCACUACACCACGCGAGCAGUGUACUGCAUGUACGACAUCUUAAUCCUAAUCAUAAUGACCCAGUACAGUACUUCCGUAACGCAACGCACAACACGCCGUUCUGCCGCCUAUCUACCUACCUUCCUAGUGUUGCUGUGGAAAUAUUGGAGUGACACAAUGUUUUGGUCCGGCAAGCAAUCCAUUUUUGGCUGUUGGAGAGGCGGGCACCCGGGUAUAUAUUAGAGGCCUCUAGGGGGCCAGAUUUCUUUGUCCAGGGUUCGUGAACGUUGGUGCAUGCCUAUCUGCUGCAUCUACCUACCUGCUGCAUCUAUGACUCCCGACGACCUGACUGCCUGGCUAUCUGCCUGCCUGCAUCGGUAUGUAGGCUACGCCAGGUGGGAGCCAAAUACAGGUGUUGCCAUCAAGCAACCGAACAAGUUGCACUCACAGGGCACAUACUUGUACUUU